Camellia sinensis is the source of this 465-nucleotide non-coding RNA. Lineage: Eukaryota; Viridiplantae; Streptophyta; Magnoliopsida; Ericales; Theaceae. The record is from RefSeq and is a predicted model, not a curated record.
CCUCCAUCUCUCAUUGAAAGGGGAAGUUACAUUCUUCGGAAGCUCUUGGUUGAUGAUACAGAAGUUAUUAGCUUCCUUCUCUCAAUAGAAAUAAUUCCACUAUGCCUGCGGACGAUGGAGAUGGGCAGUGAACUAUCAAAAACAGAGCCAAGCAAAGGGACAAACGGCAAGAAACAUUCUCAUAGAGAAAUGCAGGGUAAGCAAAACAGUGCAAGUGGUGAACAUAGGGUGCACAGAGGUGGUGCUUGGAAGAAUUCCCUUCACCAGAAGCCUUAAAGCAUUGAAUUAUUGUUUCAACCAAACCACCAAAAGAAUAUCUUGAAUCUAAGGGUCCAAUAGGGAAGGAUUCAUCUACUGAAGCAGCAUCAGGAAAGGAGUCACCAGACCUUGCAGCUUAGCUGGAUCCUGAUGACAAGGUGAGCUUAGAAAUAAAUUUAUUUCAUCAGCUUAUAAUCUACAAAUGAA